This 405-nucleotide ribosomal RNA is filed under the name uncultured Eubacterium sp. RNAcentral's name for it is "bacterial SSU rRNA". It matches the Rfam family "Bacterial small subunit ribosomal RNA", at positions 355 to 776 of the family's 1533-position model. Lineage: Bacteria; Bacillati; Bacillota; Clostridia; Eubacteriales; Eubacteriaceae. RNAcentral also lists the same sequence under 1 other name. The record is from RNAcentral.
UGGGGAAUAUUGCACAAUGGGGGAAACCCUGAUGCAGCAACGCCGCGUGAAGGAAGACGGUUUUCGGAUUGUAAACUUCUGUUCUUAGUGAAGAAUAAUGACGGUAGCUAAGGAGCAAGCCACGGCUAACUACGUGCCAGCAGCCGCGGUAAUACGUAGGUGGCAAGCGUUGUCCGGAAUUACUGGGUGUAAAGGGAGCGUAGGCGGGAUGCCAAGUCAGCUGUGAAAACUAUGGGCUUAACCUGUAGACUGCAGUUGAAACUGGUAUUCUUGAGUGAAGUAGAGGUUGGCGGAAUUCCGAGUGUAGCGGUGAAAUGCGUAGAUAUUCGGAGGAACACCGGUGGCGAAGGCGGCCAACUGGGCUUUAACUGACGCUGAGGCUCGAAAGUGUGGGGAGCAAACAGG